ACACACACACACACAGGCGGCGGGUGUUUUUGAGACAGUGCGCGAAGCAGAAAUCCGAGGAAAUGUGGUGAUAUAACAACAGGUGAAGAGAGAAACUAGUGCAGUCUUGCUGGAUCAGCCGGUUUAUUUUCUGUUUACAUGCUGGUUUACCUCAUGGCAACCACAACAUGUUUCCUUCAAUCCUAGGACCUCAGAUUUCAAGAAAGUCAUGCAGGAGCGGCACGCUGCACCAUAACAAGGCUCCUUGGAGAUAGAGGAAUGCAAAUCUGCAAUCAUGAUGGAAGGUGAGGGCUUGGUCUAUUUUUAUCUUAUUGCUUCUCGUUGCGUGUACGGCCCAGUGUGUGCUGGCUUUAAAUGCCAUAA
Puntigrus tetrazona (Sumatra barb) is the source of this 363-nucleotide long non-coding RNA. RefSeq lists it as uncharacterized. NCBI's taxonomy places the organism in Eukaryota, Metazoa, Chordata, Actinopteri, Cypriniformes, Cyprinidae. The record is from RefSeq and is a predicted model, not a curated record. The transcript is spliced from 4 exons.